UACGUAGGGGGCGAGCGUUGUCCGGAUUUACUGGGCGUAAAGAGCGCGCAGGCGGUCGUUCAAGUCGCGUGUGAAAGCCCCCGGCUCAACUGGGGAGGGUCACGCGAUACUGAUCGACUCGAAGGCAGGAGAGGGUAGUGGAAUUCCCGGUGUAGUGGUGAAAUGCGUAGAUAUCGGGAGGAACACCAGUGGCGAAGGCGACUACCUGGCCUGUUUCUUGACGCUGAGGCGCGAAAGCUAGGGGAGCAAACGGG
This 254-nucleotide ribosomal RNA is filed under the name uncultured bacterium. RNAcentral's name for it is "partial 16S ribosomal RNA". It matches the Rfam family "Bacterial small subunit ribosomal RNA", at positions 524 to 776 of the family's 1533-position model. The record is from RNAcentral.